CAGCACCUCAAGUGGUCAGGAUGAUUAUUGGGCCUAAAGCAUCCGUAGCCGGCUCUGUAAGUUUUCGGUUAAAUCUGUACGCUCAACGUACAGGCUGCCGGGAAUACUGCAGCGCUAGGGAGUGGGAGAGGUAGACGGUACUCGGUAGGAAGGGGUAAAAUCCUUUGAUCUAUUGAUGACCACCUGUGGCGAAGGCGGUCUACCAGAACACGUCCGACGGUGAGGGAUGAAAGCUGGGGGAGCAAACCGGAUUAGAGACCCCCGUAGUCC
Molecule: ribosomal RNA, 270 nt
Filed under: uncultured archaeon
Lineage: Archaea
Description: partial 16S ribosomal RNA
Rfam family: Archaeal small subunit ribosomal RNA
Source: RNAcentral